AAAGUCGUAACAAGGUUUCCGUAGGUGAACCUGCGGAAGGAUCAUUAAUGAAACGCGAGGCGAGGUUGUAGCUGGUCCCCGAAGGGGGCAACGUGCACGCCUCGUCCAUGUCUCUCUCUCACCCCUGUGCACCUUUGCGUUGGGUCCCGUUGGUUCGGGGCUCACGUCCUUUUCGUAAAACACGCAUGUACCAGAACGUCACACCUUUUCGUUAUUAUACAACUUUCAACAACGGAUCUCUUGGCUCUCGCAUCGAUGAAGAACGCAGCGAAAUGCGAUAAGUAAUGUGAAUUGCAGAAUUCAGUGAAUCAUCGAAUCUUUGAACGCACCUUGCGCCCCUUGGUAUUCCGAAGGGCACACCUGUUUGAGUAUCGUGAAAUCAUCAACCCUUUCACGUCGUUGAAGGGCUUGGACUUUGGAGGUCUUUGCUGGUCCCUCGGGGAUCGGCUCCUCUUGAAUGCAUUUAGUGGAGCGUCGUUCCUGUUGUCAGCCCGCCCUUCGGUGUGAUAAUUCAUCCGCAUCGAUCGAGUUGAACAAAGGUUCGAACGUGUUGCUUUUUGAUCUCAAAUCAGGUGGGACUACCCGCUGAACUUAAGCAUAUCAAUAAGCGGAGGAAAAGAAACUAACGAGGAUUCCCCUAGUAACUGCGAGUGAAGCGGGAAAAGCUCAAAUUUGUAAUCUGGCGGUCUCUGGCCGUCCGAGUU
RNAcentral lists this ribosomal RNA (704 nucleotides) under Leucogaster odoratus. RNAcentral describes it as "eukaryotic LSU rRNA". The stretch from base 221 to 374 matches the Rfam family "5.8S ribosomal RNA". The record is from RNAcentral. Lineage: Eukaryota; Fungi; Basidiomycota; Agaricomycetes; Boletales; Leucogastraceae.